This 373-nucleotide ribosomal RNA is filed under the name uncultured organism. RNAcentral's name for it is "bacterial SSU rRNA". It matches the Rfam family "Bacterial small subunit ribosomal RNA", at positions 526 to 896 of the family's 1533-position model. The record is from RNAcentral.
CGUAGGGCGCGAGCGUUGUCCGGAUUUAUUGGGCGUAAAGAGCUCGUAGGCGGCUUGUCGCGUCGACUGUGAAAACCCGCGGCUCAACUGUGGGCGUGCAGUCGAUACGGGCAGGCUGGAGUUCGGUAGGGGAGACUGGAAUUCCUGGUGUAGCGGUGAAAUGCGCAGAUAUCAGGAGGAACACCGGUGGCGAAGGCGGGUCUCUGGGCCGAUACUGACGCUGAGGAGCGAAAGCGUGGGGAGCGAACAGGAUUAGAUACCCUGGUAGUCCACGCUGUAAACGUUGGGCGCUAGGUGUGGGGGGCCUCUCCGGUUCUCUGUGCCGCAGCUAACGCAUUAAGCGCCCCGCCUGGGGAGUACGGCCGCAAGGCUA